Molecule: ribosomal RNA, 253 nt
Filed under: uncultured bacterium
Lineage: Bacteria
Description: partial 16S ribosomal RNA
Rfam family: Bacterial small subunit ribosomal RNA
Source: RNAcentral
UACGGGGGGGGCAAGCGUUGUUCGGAAUUACUGGGCGUAAAGGGCUUGUAGGUGGCCAACUAAGUCAGACGUGAAAUCCCUCGGCUUAACCGGGGAACUGCGUCUGAUACUGGAUGGCUUGAGUGUGGGAGAGGGAUGCGGAAUUCCGGGUGGAGUGGUGAAAUGCGUAGAGAUCCGGAGGAACACCAGAGGCGAAGGCGGCCUACUGGGCUGCACCUGACGCUGAGCCGCGAAAGCCAGGGGAGCGAACGGG